GAUGAAGAACGUAGCGAAAUGCGAUAAGUAAUGUGAAUUGCAGAAUUCAGUGAAUCAUCGAAUCUUUGAACGCACAUUGCGCCCAUUAGCAUUCUAGUGGGCAUGCCUGUUCGAGCGUCAUUUCAACCCUUAAGCCCUGUUGCUUAGCGUUGGGAGCCUACAGUACUGUCGCUCCCCAAAGUUAGUGGCGGAGUCGGUUUCACACUCUAGACGUAGUAAUUUUUUCUCGUCUGUAGUUGAGCCGGUCCCCUGCCGUAAAACACCCAAUUUAUCAAGGUUGACCUCGGAUCAGGUAGGAAUACCCGCUGAACUUAAGCAUAUCAAUAAGCGGAGGA
This 335-nucleotide unclassified non-coding RNA is filed under the name soil metagenome. RNAcentral describes it as "partial contains 5.8S ribosomal RNA, internal transcribed spacer 2, and large subunit ribosomal RNA". The stretch from base 1 to 120 matches the Rfam family "5.8S ribosomal RNA", at positions 35 to 154 of the family's 154-position model. The record is from RNAcentral.